UAAACGAAAAGGCAAAUCUAUUGAAAAGUAGAGACGCAAAGCUUCAGAUCUAAGGUCAAUUUUGACUAUGAUGGCUGGGUUACCGAA
Molecule: non-coding RNA, 87 nt
Filed under: Litchfieldia salsa
Lineage: Bacteria; Bacillati; Bacillota; Bacilli; Caryophanales; Bacillaceae
Description: Bacillus sp. A24(2010) c-di-GMP-I riboswitch aptamer
Rfam family: c-di-GMP-I riboswitch aptamer
About the family: GEMM was predicted in a large-scale screen for bacterial structured RNA regulatory elements. Genes associated with GEMM are involved in a diverse array of functions, including chemotaxis regulation, signal transduction, secretion and chitin.
Source: Rfam by way of RNAcentral